This 2633-nucleotide long non-coding RNA is filed under the name Sus scrofa (pig). Its description in RNAcentral is "lncRNA (ENSSSCG00025075647.1)". The record is from RNAcentral. Lineage: Eukaryota; Metazoa; Chordata; Mammalia; Artiodactyla; Suidae.
GAGUAUACUCCUUUCUGCUUCCCAUCUCAGAGCAGCUGUGUGAUUUCCUGAGGAUUCCAUUUCUGGAGCUAGGGAUAAAAGCUCAUUUAUACACACAACAACCUGCAAGUCUCCAGUUUCAAUUCUUCCUCCCUCCCUCUGCCUUCCCUCCCCCACUUUGAACCAGAGAAGCCAAAUGAGGCGUGCUUUAAACAGUUUCAGGACUAAUCUGAAAGAGGAAGAAGAAUCUGUAUACACUGGCUAGCCUUUGUGCCCUGCCCUCUUUCCUCUUGAAAAUAGCAACAACUCAUCUUUUCAAAAAAGCUUUCAGGCACCCUGUGAAUGGCGUGUACUUUCAAGACCUUCCGGGGUAUUAAGAUUCAUUGUACAGCUCACUAGGGAUGAUUAGCUUUCCAAGGGACCAGUAGAUUGGAUUUACUGAAGACUUGGAACUUGCUUCUGAGAGUGAAUGCAAAAGGAUCAUAAACUGUCAACCUUGAAGUUAGCAGUCUGUGAGACCCUAAGCAGAAGACCCAGCUAACUUGUACCUGAACUCCUGAUCCACAGAAACUAUGAGAAAGAGAGCCAGGACAGAAGAAGCAGCAGCAGGAAUGAAGAGAAACAGAGAGGAAAAUGAUCAAAACUUGGUAUCAGAAUGUAUAAAUAUUAGCUUAGAAGAGUGCAAAAUUGCAAAGGAGUCAUAUCCCUCCUCCCUUCAUGCCCAGAUUCCCAUAUCUGUGCUGUUUUCCUCAUCUGUAAUUUUAAUUUCAUUGUCUUCAGCUUUUGGAUUUCCAUUGCCUUCUUCUCUUUCCCUCUUGCCCCAUCAGCCUUAGUAAAACCCUCCCAGACUCCUUCCAUCUAACUGAGAUGACAGGGUCUGAUAAAUUUUGUCAUUUUAAAAGAAAGAAAAGCCUCUUAGAAAUUCUACAGAGUAGAUUUCAGUCAUCAGUUAAGAUAUGGAUGGAUGAAUUGUUGGUCCUGGUACCCUAAAUCCAUAUGAUCAAGCAGGAUGGUCAUCUCAUACAAGAGAUGAUUAAAAAGAAACUAAGAUGACUUUAGGAGUAUCUACCUCAGAGGAUCUGAAUAAUGGUGAUUAUAUUGCUAGAAUCAGAUAUGCUGUUACUUAUUAUAAAGCAAAAGGAGUAAGGUCAGGGAGAAAGACCUAUGAGCCCUAGAAAGUGGGGCUACUUUACAUCAUAAAAUCAGCACUUAGUUAGAAAUCAUUGUCAAAGCUAGAACUGAAUUGCUGUGUUGCCUUUAGAGGGCCUGAUAAAUCCUGUAUCCUGAGCACUGCUGAAACAUUCAGAGAGGAAUGAAGUGAGUCUUUCUCUCAGACAUUCACCUGAAAUAAACUCAGGAAACAAUUAGUAGUCUUAAAUCAAAUUCACAAAUGACUCAAGUCUCUGUUUCUCUUUACUUAAGCCAUAGAUCUCUUAUCCUGUGUGCUCUUUUUUCUAAGAUGAAAAAUAACCAAGGGGGAAAAUAACAGGAGUUACCCAAUGGUUCAGCAGGUUAAGGAUCCAGCACUGUCACUGUGGCUCAGGCUGUGGCAUGAGUUCUAUCCUUGGCCCCAACUUCCACAAACCAUAGGCAUGGCCAAAAAAGAAAAAGGGGGGAAAGAACAUACCCUGAUCUUCCUUAGUUUAUAGAAUGGCAAACUGAAAGGAAAUUGAGAGAUCAUAUAAAACAACCCUACUGAAUUGCAGUUAAAUGAAGACAUGCCAGGAAGGGAGUGAUUUACUCAAGAACACAGUUAAUCAUCCACCACAACCUGAGAUAUGAGCUAGGUCUUGUGCCUACCAGUCCUACAAAUUUCCACCAUGCACAUUGUCUUUCUCCAUGCAAGAUUCUCUCUGAUUGUGAAAAGACAUCAACAAAAUGAUAUAAAAAUUAAUUAAUUCAAAUAAACCAAUAUUUAAAAGGCACUGUUAUGUACAGCAUGAACUAAAAAAUAAUCAAUAAGACUUGAUUAUUAAGUCUAGUGGAACUGGGGUAGGAAAAAUGGGGAAGUUUAAAUUGAACAACCACAGAGAUGAGCAUGACACGAAGCAAUAAAUGAAAAUUACCAAGAAAAGUACAGACAAAAUAAUGUAGAAUUUCAAAGGAGAGAAAUAUUGAAUUGAGAAGAUCAGAAAUAGCUUUUUGUUUUAAUAAAAGCAGAAAAAAAGAGGCACCAUUGCUAUCUUCAUGUAAUAGAAGACAUUAGCCUGGGGACUUCCUGGGGACACUUAAAGAUCUCCCUGGACCACAUUUAGAAGGCACAACAGUACAUAAAUCUUUUAUAGGUAGCUUUAUUGUAGCAAAAAUAAAGUGUAUGGCAUAUGAAUUGGGACUUUAUAUUAGAUUAUCUCUGGAAACUCUUACUUGUUCACUGGAACUUGACAAGGUUACAGAUUCAAUGGAGGCUAAGGGCUGAUGCAAAGUGAGUAGAUGAUGAUGAAGAAGAAGAUAGAUAUAGAUAGAUGAUAUAGAUAGUUUUACAUGGACUUAAGAUGAGCUAAAUAAAAGAUCUGAGUAACUCCUGAAUUAAGUAAUGGAACACAAAGGUUAUAUAUUCAUGCAUAAGAGUGGUAGAAUCUAUUUUCGGCAGAAGCUGCUGUCAGAGACCAGAGUUCUCAAGUAAACCAAAAAAAAAAAAAAAAAAAAAAAAAAAG